UUAUGCGAUAUAUUGUGUGAAUUGCAGAAUCCCGUGAACCAUCGAGUCUUUGAACGCAAGUUGCGCCCGAUGCCAUUAGGUUGAGGGCACGUCUGCCUGGGUGUCACAUAUCGAAGCCUCCUGCCAAUUUCCUUUUGACGGGUAUUGCGCACGGUGGAUGUUGGCCUCCCGUGAGCUCUUUCGUCUCAUGGUUGGUUGAAAAUUGAGACCUUGGUAGGGUGUGCCAUGAUAGAUGGUGGUUGUGUGACCCACGAGACCAAUCAUGCGCUGCCCUAUUGAAUUUGGCCUCUUUUACCCAUAUGCGUUUCUAAACGCUCGUGAUGAGACCUCAGGUCAGGCGGGGCUACCCGCUGAAUUUAAGCAUAUCAAUAAGCGGAGGAAAAGAAACUAACAAGGAUUCCCUUAGUAACGGCGAGCGAACCGGGAUAAGCCCACCAUGAGAAUCGGUCGCCCUCGGCGUUCGAAUUGUAGUCUGGAGAAAGCGUCAA
Molecule: ribosomal RNA, 488 nt
Filed under: Lens culinaris (lentil)
Lineage: Eukaryota; Viridiplantae; Streptophyta; Magnoliopsida; Fabales; Fabaceae
Description: eukaryotic LSU rRNA
Rfam family: Eukaryotic large subunit ribosomal RNA (bases 324-488)
Source: RNAcentral